AUCACACAGAUUCAAACCGAUCC
Molecule: non-coding RNA, 23 nt
Filed under: Arabidopsis thaliana (thale cress)
Lineage: Eukaryota; Viridiplantae; Streptophyta; Magnoliopsida; Brassicales; Brassicaceae
Source: RNAcentral